GACAGAGGUGCCGAGCGUUAGGCGGAAUCACUGGGCUUAAAGCGUGUGUAGGCGGAUCGUUAAGUGCCUUGUGAAAUCCCACGGCUCAACCGUGGAACUGCUGGGCAUACUGCCGAUCUUGAGCCACUUAGGGGCAACCGGAACAAACGGUGGAGCGGUGAAAUGCGUAGAUAUCCGAAGGAACAUCAGUGGCGAAAGCGGCUUCCUGGACCAGAACUGACGAUCAGGCACGAAAGCGUGGGGAGCAAACAGG
RNAcentral lists this ribosomal RNA (253 nucleotides) under uncultured bacterium. RNAcentral's name for it is "partial 16S ribosomal RNA". It matches the Rfam family "Bacterial small subunit ribosomal RNA", at positions 524 to 776 of the family's 1533-position model. The record is from RNAcentral.